This 490-nucleotide ribosomal RNA is filed under the name uncultured bacterium. RNAcentral's name for it is "partial 16S ribosomal RNA". It matches the Rfam family "Bacterial small subunit ribosomal RNA", at positions 30 to 507 of the family's 1533-position model. The record is from RNAcentral.
AUUGAACGCUGGCGGCAGGCCUAACACAUGCAAGUCGAACGGUAACAGGAAGACGCUUGCUUCUUUGCUGACGAGUGGCGGACGGGUGAGUAAUGUCUGGGAAACUGCCUGAGGGAGGGGGAUAACUACUGGAAACGGUAGCUAAUACCGCAUAACGUCGCAAGACCAAAUAGGGGGACCUUCGGGCCUCUUGCCAUCGGAUGUGCCCAGAUGGGAUUAGCUAGUAGGUGGGGGAACGGCUCACCUAGGCGACGAUCCCUAGCUGGUCUGAGAGGAUGACCAGCCACACUGGAACUGAGACACGGUCCAGACUCCUACGGGAGGCAGCAGUGGGGAAUAUUGCACAAUGGGCGCAAGCCUGAUGCAGCCAUGCCGCGUGUAUGAAGAAGGCCUUCGGGUUGUAAAGUACUUUCAGCGGGGAGGAAGGGAGUAAAGUUAAUACCUUGGCUCAUUGACGUUACCCGCAGAAGAAGCACCGGCUAACUCCGUG